This 1306-nucleotide long non-coding RNA is filed under the name Capra hircus (goat). RNAcentral's name for it is "lncRNA (ENSCHIG00010007969.1)". The record is from RNAcentral. Lineage: Eukaryota; Metazoa; Chordata; Mammalia; Artiodactyla; Bovidae.
AUGGGCGCAAAUGUAAGCCUCCGGGCUCGUAGAUGUGACACCUCUGCCGGUGCUUUCUCCUGGCCUGUCUCUUCAGCCAAGCAGUGUCUACUAUAUGCCAGGUGGGCUUCCCUGGUGGCUCAGAUGGUAAAGCGUCUGCCUACAAUGUGGAAGANNNNNNNNNNNNNNNNNNNNNNNNNNNNNNNNNNNNNNNNNNNNNNNNNNNNNNNNNNNNNUAUUCUUGCCUGGAAAGUUCCAUGGACUGAGGAGCCUGGUAGGCUACAGUUCAUGGAUAUGCAAAGGGUCGGACAUGACUGAGCAACUUCACUUCAACUUCACUUCAUAUGCCAGGUAGGGGGGCUACUUAAGCUUUCACAGAUCCUGUAAUCUAUUGACAGACGGUAUAAAUAAGUAAUCAGAUCAUUAAAAUUUAGGGGAAAGCACCAUGGAAGCACAUAGUAGAUAGAGGUGACCUAACUCUGACAUGGGGAAGUUGGCAAGGGCUUCCUCCUGAAAAAAUUAGAGUUAAAAAAAAAAAUUGAAGGAGCAGUGAAAAUUAACCUGGUUAAGCUGUUGGAAUGGGAGAAGGGUUUGGACUGAGGAAAUAGCUUAUUCAUAUGCUUGGAACUGGGAACAUAACAUGGUAUUAUUGGAGUCUUUAUCAGAGAUAUUUAUGAGAGCAAGAACUUCAAAUUGUUCCUGAUUGUGACAUUUACAGUUUCAAAAGUAUUGCAAAAACUUGGUGAAUACCAUCUCAGUCUUGACAGGUGCAUAGUCUGAUAUGUCCAAAGAUAAAACCUGUCACCCAGCUGAUGCCCUGCCCUUAGUUGGGGCACGAGCUUUAGCUUUUAGCAGUUUAUUCUCACCCAGUGGUCAGGUUGGCUUUGAAUUGAUUAGUGCAGACUGAUGCAGUUGGUAUAUGGGUCCUCCUGGGGAUGAGGUGGGAAGCCCUUGUAAAUCCAAGAUUACAGGACUGCUUCUGUUGGGAAGAUAGAAUUGAUUGGUGUGAGAUGUAAGAGUAAAUAUCAAGAAACUUUUUGUGUUCUGGAACCCCUAAUGAAAAUAAAUUUUAGAGGCUUAUGGAUCAUUAGUCCUGGAGUAUAAUUUGAUUAAUCUCCCAAGAAACCAGAUCCUGUUUUAUGAUGCAUAGAGCUCUGAAUUUGGGAAGAGUCCAAAAGGUCUGGGUUCUAGUCCAGCCAUGUGUUUUGGGGCCAAUUAUUUAAUAACCAGCAGCACAGCUGUUAUUGUUACGUGCUACUGCCACAAUCGGGAACAUCCCCCCUGGAGAAGGGAAAGGCUACCCACUCCAGUAUUCUUGCCUGGAGAA